RNAcentral lists this ribosomal RNA (429 nucleotides) under Acidobacteriota bacterium. RNAcentral's name for it is "Acidobacteria bacterium partial 16S ribosomal RNA". It matches the Rfam family "Bacterial small subunit ribosomal RNA", at positions 355 to 776 of the family's 1533-position model. The record is from RNAcentral. Lineage: Bacteria; Pseudomonadati; Acidobacteriota.
UGGGGAAUAUUGCACAAUGGGCGCAAGCCUGAUGCAGCCAUGCCGCGUGUAUGAAGAAGGCCUUCGGGUUGUAAAGUACUUUCAGCGGGGAGGAAGGCGAUAAGGUUAAUAACCUUGUCGAUUGACGUUACCCGCAGAAGAAGCACCGGCUAACUCCGUGCCAGCAGCCGCGGUAAUACGGAGGGUGCAAGCGUUAAUCGGAAUUACUGGGCGUAAAGCGCACGCAGGCGGUCUGUCAAGUCGGAUGUGAAAUCCCCGGGCUCAACCUGGGAACUGCAUUCGAAACUGGCAGGCUAGAGUCUUGUAGAGGGGGGUAGAAUUCCAGGUGUAGAGGUGAAAUGCGUAGAGAUCUGGAGGAAUACCGGUGGCGAAGGCGGCCCCCUGGACAAAGACUGACGCUCAGGUGCGAAAGCGUGGGGAGCAAACAGG